UACUAUUAAAGUAUAGCUAAAUUAAUAAAGAAAUAACCAAAGAUUGCAGUUGGAGGAUGCUUUUUGCUGGUAGGCAAAAACCCUCAACUGUUUGGUUGGUUUAGUCAAAUAUCCUUAUUAGCGCUUCUUAUCAGGCUAUGUAGCUUAAAUAAUGACAUAAUCAGGCCGCAUAGAAUGCAACAUGUUUAAUAGCCUAACUUUCAUUAGAUGGGGAAAAACAUGAACGUCUAACAUGAACGUCGCAAAAGACGAGGCAUAGGUUGAAUCCCAUUACUUGGCUCGCUUCAAAAUCUCAGCCCUAACCCUCGCUGUUGCGCGUUCACGCGCCGUGGAGCCAUGUCCCAAUACCAGUUUAAAGGUAGCUUAAGGGGUAAGGGGGAGGGCUAACAUUCCCUCAAAAUUGAGAUUUUCGAUGGGCACCCUCAAAGCGCUUCAGUUCUGACUUGCUCCCACAAUACCUUGCGAGAAAACGGAAAAUCAAGAAAUAUCCUAGACAAGAUGGAGGGCGAAAAGAUGCGAAAGGAUUGGAAAAACACAAAUGACUUCGUUGAGUCCACUGCCACCAGCCCCCCCCACCUCUCCCUCAUGCUCCUCCACCCCAGGCACCUCUUCCACCACCCCAGACACCCCUUCCAAGAGGAGAGUGCCAGGGGGCAGGCGAGGCAUGAGGUGAGCGAGGCAAAAGUUGGCGGAAUGGUGGAGAAGAUGUGAUUCUCCACCAUUCUCUCAAAAGCUGAGAGAGUGUGUGUGUGUGUGUGUGUGUGUGUAUUUUUAGGUGUGCGUGUGUGUGUAUUUUUAGAUGCGUGUGUGUGUAUUUUUAGAUGUGUGGUUCAGUGUUUCUUAUUUAAAUAAAGUGUUUCUUCUAAA
Molecule: long non-coding RNA, 867 nt
Organism: Gadus macrocephalus (Pacific cod)
Lineage: Eukaryota; Metazoa; Chordata; Actinopteri; Gadiformes; Gadidae
Exons: 2
Source: RefSeq, a predicted model, not a curated record